CAAAUUUGAUGUCGUUUUAGCGCUUUGCUUCUGAAUAUCAGCACAGGGACUGACAUUCAGGGUUUCAGGGAUUCAGAGAGCCGAUACUUUAGCCAGGACGGCAGUGAGUGCAUGACGGUGGCCUCAGCUGAUGGACGACGGUGGCCGCCGAGCGAUCGGCAGCAGGUAACAAGAGCAAAGGCUGCUGCUCAUUGUUGGGUUCCAGGACUAGGAAGGAACACUGAAGCUUAUACGUUUUAAAGGAUCAGUUUUGGUGUUCCAUCUUCUCUAUCAAAGCCAUAGGGCUUGAACCCGCUGCUCCGCUCUAAUAUGGCAGCAGCUGGGAGUUGGUGACAGAGCAGGUUUGGACGGGGCUACCUUAUCGGAGACCUGGGUGGUUUGGAUUUCG
Long non-coding RNA from Lolium rigidum, 388 nucleotides. RefSeq lists it as uncharacterized. The record is from RefSeq and is a predicted model, not a curated record. The transcript is spliced from 4 exons. Lineage: Eukaryota; Viridiplantae; Streptophyta; Magnoliopsida; Poales; Poaceae.